Molecule: ribosomal RNA, 253 nt
Filed under: uncultured bacterium
Lineage: Bacteria
Description: partial 16S ribosomal RNA
Rfam family: Bacterial small subunit ribosomal RNA
Source: RNAcentral
UACGGAGGGUGCAAGCGUUGUCCGGAUUUAUUGGGUUUAAAGGGUGCGUAGGCGGCCCGUUAAGUCAGUGGUGAAAGCCUCCAGCUCAACUGGAGAACUGCCAUUGAUACUGGCGGGCUUGAGUACAGACGAGGUUGGCGGAAUUGAUUGUGUAGCGGUGAAAUGCAUAGAUACAAUCAAGAACACCGAUUGCGUAGGCAGCUAACUGGGCUGUAACUGACGCUGAGGCACGAAAGCGUGGGGAGCGAACAGG